Molecule: ribosomal RNA, 320 nt
Filed under: uncultured Pseudozyma
Lineage: Eukaryota; Fungi; Basidiomycota; Ustilaginomycetes; Ustilaginales; Ustilaginaceae
Description: SSU rRNA
Rfam family: Eukaryotic small subunit ribosomal RNA
Source: RNAcentral
UGACCUGCUAAAUAGACGGGUUGACAUUUUGUUGGCCCCUUAUGUCUUCUUAGAGGGACUAUCGACCGUCUAGGUGAUGGAGGCAAAAGGCAAUAACAGGUCUGUGAUGCCCUUAGAUGUUCCGGGCUGCACGCGCGCUACACUGACAGAGACAACGAGUGGGGCCCCUUGUCCGAAAUGACUGGGUAAACUUGUGAAACUUUGUCGUGCUGGGGAUGGAGCUUUGUAAUUUUUGCUCUUCAACGAGGAAUUCCUAGUAAGCGCAUGUCAUCAGCAUGCGUUGAUUACGUCCCUGCCCUUUGUACACACCGCCCGUCGCU